Molecule: ribosomal RNA, 440 nt
Filed under: uncultured bacterium
Lineage: Bacteria
Description: partial 16S ribosomal RNA
Rfam family: Bacterial small subunit ribosomal RNA
Source: RNAcentral
CCUACGGGAGGCAGCAGUAGGGAAUAUUGCUCAAUGGGGGAAACCCUGAAGCAGCAACGCCGCGUGGAGGAUGAAGGUUUUCGGAUUGUAAACUCCUUUUGUUAGAGAAGAUAAUGACGGUAUCUAACGAAUAAGCACCGGCUAACUACGUGCCAGCAGCCGCGGUAAUACGGAGGGUGCAAGCGGUACUCGGAAUCACUGGGCGUAAAGAGCGCGUAGGCGGGAUAGCAAGUCAGAUGUGAAAUCCUAUGGCUUAACCAUAGAACUGCAUUUGAAACUGUUAUUCUAGAGUAUGGGAGAGGUAGGUGGAAUUCUUGGUGUAGGGGUAAAAUGCGUAGAGAUCAAGAGGAAUACUCAUUGCGAAGGCGACCUGCUAGAACAUAACUGACGCUGAUGCGCGAAAGCGUGGGGAGCAAACAGGAUUAGAUACCCGAGUAGUC